AACGAACGCUGGCGGCAUGCCUAACACAUGCAAGUCGAACGAGACCUUCGGGUCUAGUGGCGCACGGGUGCGUAACGCGUGGGAAUCUGCCCUUGGGUUCGGGAUAACAGUUGGAAACGACUGCUAAUACCGUAUGACGUCUUCGGACCAAAGAUUUAUCGCCCAGGGAUGAGCCCGCGUCGGAUUAGCUAGUUGGUAGGGUAAAAGCCUACCAAGGCGACGAUCCGUAGCUGGUCUGAGAGGAUGAUCAGCCACACUGGGACUGAGACACGGCCCAGACUCGUACGGGAGGAAGCAGUGGGGAAUAUUGGAGAGUGGGCGAAAGCCUGAUCCAGCAAUGCCGCGUGAGUGAUGAAGGACCUAGGGUUGUAAAGCUCUUUUACCCGGGAUGAUAAUGACAGUACCGGGAGAAUAAGCCCCGGCUAACUCCGUGCCAGCCGCCGCUGUAA
Molecule: ribosomal RNA, 449 nt
Filed under: uncultured bacterium
Lineage: Bacteria
Description: partial 16S ribosomal RNA
Rfam family: Bacterial small subunit ribosomal RNA
Source: RNAcentral